AUUAAAUGAGAGUUUGAUCCUGGCUCAGGACGAACGCUGGCGGCGUGCCUAAUACAUGCA
This 60-nucleotide ribosomal RNA is filed under the name Streptococcus mutans. RNAcentral describes it as "partial 16S ribosomal RNA". It matches the Rfam family "Bacterial small subunit ribosomal RNA", at positions 1 to 59 of the family's 1533-position model. The record is from RNAcentral. Lineage: Bacteria; Bacillati; Bacillota; Bacilli; Lactobacillales; Streptococcaceae.